UAAAACUGAAGUUGAUAUAGUGACUGUGACU
This 31-nucleotide non-coding RNA is filed under the name Mus musculus (house mouse). The record is from RNAcentral. Lineage: Eukaryota; Metazoa; Chordata; Mammalia; Rodentia; Muridae.